GCCUCCCCUGCCCGUCUUCUUUUCCCAGUGUUGCCUUGAAAUGCCCAGCCUGCUGGCCACAGCCACUCCUCCUGUGCCCUCAGGGCCCCCUUGCCUCUUGCAGUUUGGCCCAUGAAAGUAGGAGGAAGAUGUGCUUGGGCGUUGGUCCAUUGUGCAGCUCUGUGCUCCGAGGAAUAAAGCAGCAGUGGUGUUACUGUGGCACUGGCUCUUCCCUGGGAGUCGCUCUCUGUGGGCUUUGGAAACAUUGGCUUUUAAGGCUUGCCCAGCAAGUUGAUGACUCAGUUGGAAAACCCAGGCCUGCGAGUGGUGCUUUCUGCUGUCCCUCUGCGUGGCCAUGCAGCAGGACUGUGACCACGGAUGUGGCAUCCGGUGAGGUGGCCACCAGCCACGUGUGACUUGGAGUACCUGACAAGUAACUGGUGCACCUGAGGAAGCGCAGUGUGUGUGUGCGGCGCCUGGUCACGCUGCUGCAUGCAUGCAGACUCUCCAGGACAGCUUUGAACUUGCUAGGUAUCUCAGGCUGGCCUUGAGCUCACAAUCCUCCUGCCUCAGCCCCCCCAGUGCUGAGAUUACAGGCACAUGCUCUCUUUGCACCUGGC
This 599-nucleotide long non-coding RNA is filed under the name Heterocephalus glaber (naked mole-rat). RNAcentral's name for it is "lncRNA (ENSHGLG00000047102.1)". Lineage: Eukaryota; Metazoa; Chordata; Mammalia; Rodentia; Bathyergidae. The record is from RNAcentral.